UAAGAAGUGGCAGUUAUUAAACCUCUAUAAAACCAACCAACCAAACAAACCCAUUGCUGUCAGGUGAUUCCGACCCAUAGCGACCCUAGAAGCUUUGCAUUAGCCUACAGUAAGUUCCACUAAACCUUCUCCUCUUCUCGCAUGUAUCCGUUUAAAGAUCAGGCAACUCUUUGGAAGUUACUCAUAUGGCUAUGGUUUACACGGGUAAAAAGGUAAAAAGAACACAUAGCAAGCUAGAUUCACAGCAACUUGCCUCAUUUGUCUCCUCUGUAGUUUUAAGUAACAACCAGGUAAUCUCUACAAUUCAGGUGGCCUAGAGAUGUCUUUACCUCUGAGGGGAAUUGAGAGUCCUAUAAUUUCCAAUCAGAUUAUUCUCUAGGCCCUUUAAACUUGCUCAUUUUUCUCCACUGCAGGCAUUCUCCAAGUGUGAUAGCCUCACUGGUAGCAAUAGACCUCAUCUGGGAACUUGUUAGAAAAUGCAAAUUCUCUGGCCCUCAGAAUCAGAAACUCUGGACGUGGGGCCCAGUGACCUGUCUUUUACAGAUCCUCCAGGUGAUUCUGAUGCCUGCUAAAGUUUGAGAACCAGUAUUCUAGUGCAUGGCAUUGUGGUUUGGGGGGCAUGCUAAAGGGGAGCGGGGUGGUGGGAGAAAGCCACCCCUGAGGGGAAAGUCUUUUGUAACUAGUAUAUUUAGAACUGCUAGUACAUGACGAUAAUAAAAAGCAGAUUGAUCUUUUGAACUGGCUGUUUUAAAAUUCUGUACAGACAGUGAACCUUGCACCCAUAGAUGGCCAUCCCAUAUCCUGCCCCCCUACCACCACCACCUCCCACCAAUCCUACCCACCUACUGCUAUGCCACUGCUGUUAUCAGUGUUCUAUAGGUAGAUUGUGGUUCAGGGCUAGGAUUCACAGGCUCUCUCCCCUCUCUAGAUUCCCUCCGUUGCCUUGGCUUAUGAGAAAGCUGAAAGUGACAUAAUGGACAGGAAGCCUCGCCACGAGAAGGACAGACUGGCGAACAAGCCACUCGCCCUCUACUCUUUCCCGCACAUUGGUGUGAUAAGGGCAUCUCUUACCUGCCGCACUAGGGUCCACCCAAGAGAAUUCCCUUGAGACAGGUCACAAUUGUGUUUUUUCUUUUGGGAUGGGGUUGGGAUGACAGGAGGGACUGACAGGAAUAUUAUAGAACCUUACUCUCUUAUUCUUUUAGGCCUCAUGCAAUCCCUGGGAGCUUUUGUUGUCUAUUUCACUGUUUAUGCACAAGCGGGGUUUAGACCCAGCACUCCCAUUGGCCUCCGGGUAAAAUGGGAAAAUGACGAUAUGAAUGACUUGGAAGACAGCUAUGGACAAGAAUGGGUAAGGGAGGGGAAAGCUCUUCCCUGAGCAUCCUAUUGGUUCUCCCCUCCUGUCACUGUCCUGCCCUGAUAGAUGCUGAAAGUUCAUUUUCCUGAACUGCCUUAGUGAGACACAGAGAGUGAAACUUUUCUCAGUUAUUAGGGCUUUGGCCUUUGCCAGGACUCAGCCUCAUCUCUCAAAUUAGAUCACAAGAGCUAACCUUUUUACAUUAGUUUUGCAAUUGGUAUGGAAGAGUGACUAGUCCAGCAACACCCACAACUGGACCAAAUAAAUUAGCAUUCUUUCCCUACUCACCCGGUUAAAGUGGAAAUCGAUAUGUUUCUUUCCAAGACAAAGAGGCCAUCUGCUCUCAGUCUUGGUGAAGCAGGGGAGGGAAUAAAGCUUUGCAGAACUGCGUUGAAAUUUCCCUAGAAUAUUUCCUCGUGAGUCUCAUGGUCUCCUCUGCCUCUGCUCUCUGACAGACGAGGUACCAGAGGCAGUACCUAGAAUGGACAGGCUACACAGCCUUCUUCAUUGCCAUUGUGGUCCAGCAAAUAGCAGGUCUGAUCAUCAGGAAAACCUGGAGAAACUCCAUUUUCCAGCAAGGUCUCUUCAGUCAUCUGGGUAGGGAUCGCCUCACAGAUCAUCACAGCGUUAAUCCUCUCCUAUGGCUUCGGGAGUGUCACAGCCCUGAACUUCACUGUGCUCUGGGCUCAGUAUUGGUUUGCGGCUGUGUCAUAUGCUAUUCUGAUUUGGGUGUACGACGAGGUGCGAAAAUUCUUCAUCAGGCUUUACCCUGGAGGUCAUGUAGUAUUAAGACCACCUUAUUUCCCAAUUCUCCCAACUGCACAUUGGUGAUGUUCUUCGGUUUUUUUGGGCCAGUAACCGGAAGAUCUCUUGGGCAAUGGGGACACCAUCCAAAUUCGUGCAAGAGAAGGAAAAAAACUGUAUUAAAGUGAUCCAACUGAUGUUUUAUAUUUUUAUUGAAGUUGAGAUUCAACUAUUUGUAUAUGAUUUUUAUCUCCAUCUCCCUGUUUUAAAAUAAGUGAAUUUCGAGGUAACAUUGCAGGGAAGAGGGCAUGUUUAUAUGUACAUAAAUUUCAAGUCUUGUGUAACCCAGAUAUCUUCUGGGGUCUCACUGCUCCUUAAGCUCUACAUAGGAUUGCUCAGACCUCCAUUCCACACUCUACUGAAGGUCUAAGACCUCCCUAAGAUUUCUGUAAAUUCCUGGGGAACUUAUAUUUUCAUGGCCACCUUACACAAAAAAAGGCUAAUUCAGCUGAAGGUUUGCAAGAGAUGGAGGUGGCAGCAGGCUUAUAUCAUAGCAACCCAGACCAUCUCAAGUUUGACUCUAAGACAUCCUUUUCAAAAGUCCUCAGCCAUCUUGCCAUGACACAGUUUUACUGGCCGCAUCAGCCCUCGUCCCAACUUCUUGCCAUCUCACCAGUCCUUUUAGGCUCUAAUUCCUCCCAUGUUACCUUCCUUCUCUCCCAGCCUCCAAAUUGUCCCUCCCCCAUACCUCUCACCCACCACACACCCACUGCCCUCGAGUGGAUUCUGAUUCAUAGCGACCCUGUAGGACCAGAGUAGAACUGCCCCAUAGGGUUUCCAAGGCUAUAAUCUUUACACAAACAGACUGCCACAUCUUUCUCCCAUGGAGUGGCUAGUGGGUUGGAACCGCCGACCUUUUGGUUAGCAGCCCAGUGCUUUAACCUCUCGCCACCAGGGCUACCCCUCCCCCCACCUCUAGACCUGUAAUUUAGCCUUCUUCAGCUCCUCCAAAACUGAGCUCCAUUCUGCAUGUCCUAAUUCAAAAUGCUUAUUGAUCCAAAGGGCCUUUCAUUUACUUAGAUUCCACCUCAGUUAGAAAGCCAUUUCUGUUUAAAAAGGAAUAUUUAUUUCUUGUAAAACAGCUGCAAAUCACUCUCCAGCAGCACUCAUUUUAUGUCAAUCAUGAACUUUCAUGUUUUCACUUAAAUUUAUUCAUGUUUUCACUUAAAUUUAUUCAUGUGUGACACAUUGACAGGCAAGAGAGCUUUCAUUUUUAAAUAAAAGAUGUUUUGAAAAACCAGAUCUAAUUAUGGUGUUCUAGUUUUUUUAGUUAGAGUUUUUCUUGAAUGCAGAGCAUAGGACACACAAAAAAUAAGGCGUGAUUUUAAUUUUUUUUUUUUUUAACUUUUUUCUGGCAAUUAACUACAGAAGGCCAGAAAAUGUAGGGCCUACUUUUUGGACUCUCCCCUCACCAGUAUUCCUGCUCUGUAUGCUAUGCCUUCUUGAUGUGCCCACAUUUCUGAGUCAGGGUUUCCAUGGGAGUGAUACAUCCUCCAUAAGCAACAUUCUAGGGAAAGCCGUUAUCACAGCCUUCCCAUCUAUUGCACGCCCAAAACAAAUCUGAUCUGAUACUGAUCUGAUAGAACCUGAAAAUUAUAUUUGGUUAAACUUUUCCCACUCAAAUGGCCUACCCCAUCACUUUUCUCCAUCACAGAGAUUAAGGCAUAUGCUCUGCUGAUGGCUCCAAAAUUGGUAUCUCUGGAACAACGAAAGGGAGAUUUAGAGCCAUUGCUCUCUAUCGUGGUUUUCUCGGGGGCCACAUCUAGGGACAUGAAAUAGAUAAAGGGACCAUUAUUGUUACUUUUGUAAAUAAAUUAUAACGUACAGUAUGUACCGUGUGUGUGUGUUUAAGUUAAAAUAAUGUCUCUGUCCUUGGGGGUUUUAAUCUCUGUUUGUAGCCGCAAUUAUCUCUAGACUAAUCUCGUAUCAGCAGCUCCAGUGAACCGGAAACCUUUUGUAGCCAUAGUUUGGACAGCUUGGUAAUGGCCUUCUCAUUCCAAUCUUGCCAAAAAGCCUAUGCUUUUUGAUUUCUGUUUCCUGCCAGGCAGGCAGAGUGCUCUUGGCUGUGAGGGUCUGUAGUUCUGUCCUGCCAGAGCUGGCAGAAGAGGGUAUAAAUAGAGCACACCGCUUCAGGAAUUAACUUGGGGCUGGAUAACUUUUGUAUUUUGUAUAAACCUAGUCUUGCAAAAAGUUGGCACUCAGAUAUUUGUAAAAUGAACAAAUAACUAAGAAAUCCCAGAAAUGAGACUGGCUAAUCAAAAAGCUUUACUAAGUUGUAGACAGAAAAAAGUUAAAAAAAAAAAAAAAUCCCAUACCAGGGCUUUUUUGAG
This is a long non-coding RNA of Loxodonta africana (African savanna elephant), 4491 nucleotides long. RefSeq lists it as uncharacterized. The transcript has 4 exons. The record is from RefSeq and is a predicted model, not a curated record. NCBI's taxonomy places the organism in Eukaryota, Metazoa, Chordata, Mammalia, Proboscidea, Elephantidae.